RNAcentral lists this ribosomal RNA (613 nucleotides) under uncultured bacterium. RNAcentral's name for it is "bacterial SSU rRNA". It matches the Rfam family "Bacterial small subunit ribosomal RNA", at positions 61 to 665 of the family's 1533-position model. The record is from RNAcentral.
GUCGAGCGAGGUUACUGUUUCGGAUCCCUUCGGGGUGAAGAAGCUUUAACCUAGCGGCGGACGGGUGAGUAACGCGUGGGUAACCUACCCCAAAGUCCGGGAUAACAGCGGGAAACCGCUGCUAAUACCGGAUGCCUUUACCUUGGGGCAUCUUGAGGUAAAGAAAGGUAACGCUUUGGGAUGGGCCCGCGUCCCAUUAGCUAGUUGGUGAGGUAACGGCUUACCAAGGCGACGAUGGGUAGCCGGCCUGAGAGGGUGGACGGCCACACUGGGACUGAGACACGGCCCAGACUCCUACGGGAGGCAGCAGUAGGGAAUAUUGCGCAAUGGACGGAAGUCUGACGCAGCGACGCCGCGUGAGCGAUGAAGGUCUUCGGAUCGCAAAGCUCUGUCCUUGGGGAAGAAGGUCUUCGGACUUGACGGUACCCAAGAAGAAAGCCCCGGCUAACUACGUGCCAGCAGCCGCGGUAAUACGUAGGGGGCGAGCGUUGUCCGGAAUUACUGGGCGUAAAGGGUGCGUAGGCGGCCCUUUAAGUCGGAUGUGAAAGCCCGCGGCUUAACCGCGGAAUGGCAUUCGAAACUGGAGGGCUUGAGUGUCGGAGAGGGUAGUGGA